RNAcentral lists this ribosomal RNA (759 nucleotides) under Neisseria subflava. Its description in RNAcentral is "bacterial SSU rRNA". It matches the Rfam family "Bacterial small subunit ribosomal RNA", at positions 28 to 776 of the family's 1533-position model. The record is from RNAcentral. Lineage: Bacteria; Pseudomonadati; Pseudomonadota; Betaproteobacteria; Neisseriales; Neisseriaceae.
AUUGAACGCUGGCGGCAUGCUUUACACAUGCAAGUCGGACGGCAGCACAGAGAAGCUUGCUUCUUGGGUGGCGAGUGGCGAACGGGUGAGUAACAUAUCGGAACGUACCGAGUAAUGGGGGAUAACUAAUCGAAAGAUUAGCUAAUACCGCAUAUUCUCUGAGGAGGAAAGCAGGGGACCUUUUGGCCUUGCGUUAUUCGAGCGGCCGAUAUCUGAUUAGCUAGUUGGUGGGGUAAAGGCCUACCAAGGCGACGAUCAGUAGCGGGUCUGAGAGGAUGAUCCGCCACACUGGGACUGAGACACGGCCCAGACUCCUACGGGAGGCAGCAGUGGGGAAUUUUGGACAAUGGGCGCAAGCCUGAUCCAGCCAUGCCGCGUGUCUGAAGAAGGCCUUCGGGUUGUAAAGGACUUUUGUCAGGGAAGAAAAGGCUGUUGCUAAUAUCGACAGCUGAUGACGGUACCUGAAGAAUAAGCACCGGCUAACUACGUGCCAGCAGCCGCGGUAAUACGUAGGGUGCGAGCGUUAAUCGGAAUUACUGGGCGUAAAGCGAGCGCAGACGGUUACUUAAGCAGGAUGUGAAAUCCCCGGGCUCAACCUGGGAACUGCGUUCUGAACUGGGUGACUAGGGUGUGUCAGAGGGAGGUAGAAUUCCACGUGUAGCAGUGAAAUGCGUAGAGAUGUGGAGGAAUACCGAUGGCGAAGGCAGCCUCCUGGGAUAACACUGACGUUCAUGCUCGAAAGCGUGGGUAGCAAACAGG